UACAGAGGGGGCCAGCGUUAUUCGGAAUUAUUGGGCGGAAAAGGCGCGUAGGCGGCUCUGCGUGUCUUUCGUGAAAUCCCUCGGCUUAACCGGGGAACUGCAUCUGAUACUGGAUGGCUUGAGUUCGGGAGAGGGAUGCGGAAUUCCAGGUGUAGCGGUGAAAUGCGUAGAUAUCUGGAGGAACACCGGUGGCGAAGGCGGCAUCCUGGACCGACACUGACGCUGAGGAGCGAAAGCCAGGGGAGCAAACGGG
This 253-nucleotide ribosomal RNA is filed under the name uncultured bacterium. RNAcentral's name for it is "partial 16S ribosomal RNA". It matches the Rfam family "Bacterial small subunit ribosomal RNA", at positions 524 to 776 of the family's 1533-position model. The record is from RNAcentral.